AUACGAAGGGGGCUAGCGUUGUUCGGAAUUACUGGGCGUAAAGCGCGCGUAGGCGGAUUGGUCAGUUAGGGGUGAAAUCCCAGGGCUUAACCCUGGAACUGCCUCUAAUACUGCCAGUCUUGAGUUCGGGAGAGGUGAGUGGAAUUCCUAGUGUAGAGGUGAAAUUCGUAGAUAUUAGGAAGAACGCCAGUGGCGAAGGCGGCUCACUGGCCCGAUACUGACGCUGAGGCGCGAAAGCGUGGGGAGCAAACAGGAUUAGAAACCCCAGUAGUCC
This 274-nucleotide ribosomal RNA is filed under the name uncultured bacterium. RNAcentral's name for it is "partial 16S ribosomal RNA". It matches the Rfam family "Bacterial small subunit ribosomal RNA", at positions 523 to 796 of the family's 1533-position model. The record is from RNAcentral.